Molecule: long non-coding RNA, 279 nt
Organism: Capra hircus (goat)
Lineage: Eukaryota; Metazoa; Chordata; Mammalia; Artiodactyla; Bovidae
Exons: 3
Source: RefSeq, a predicted model, not a curated record
UCCACCCACAACUGAGAAGGUUCAUCCCUGAACUCACUGCCUGGCAUCACGCUGAACAGGCAGGGAGGACUGGAACUCAGCCCUCCAGAAACCAGACAGCAGACCAGAAUUCGAGUUCUCUGCUCACUGGAGAUGAUCAGGCUCUGACCCUCAGUUCAGGCUGAGGCCCUUCAACUAGACUCCUGCAUUCGGGACCUGGACAGAAGAAAAAGUACACAAAAGGAGGGACUGAAAAGAAGAAAGGGGGAAAAGGUACAGGCACUGACAAAGCAACAGACU